UACGUAGGGUGCGAGCGUUAAUCGGAAUUACUGGGCGUAAAGCGUGCGCAGGCGGUUUUGUAAGCCAGAUGUGAAAUCCCCGGGCUUAACCUGGGAAUGGCAUUUGGGACUGCAAGGCUGGAGUACGGCAGAGGAGACUGGAAUUCCUGGUGUAGCAGUGAAAUGCGUAGAGAUCAGGAGGAAUACCGAUGGCGAAGGCAGGUCUCUGGGCUGAUACUGACGCUCAUGCACGAAAGCGUGGGGAGCAAACGAGGAUAGAGUACCCCGGUAGAUC
This 274-nucleotide ribosomal RNA is filed under the name uncultured bacterium. Its description in RNAcentral is "partial 16S ribosomal RNA". It matches the Rfam family "Bacterial small subunit ribosomal RNA", at positions 524 to 796 of the family's 1533-position model. The record is from RNAcentral.